Molecule: long non-coding RNA, 883 nt
Organism: Austrofundulus limnaeus
Lineage: Eukaryota; Metazoa; Chordata; Actinopteri; Cyprinodontiformes; Rivulidae
Exons: 3
Source: RefSeq, a predicted model, not a curated record
CUUUAAUAAUAUGACAUUGUGAACCCUACAGAACAGUGUUCUGAUUCAAUAGAAGCUGUUUUUUUCUUAUCUAAUCUGGAAAGUUGUGUCUUUCUGAUGAGCGUUUGGAGCUGAGGGUUGUUGCUCAUCUCUCUGUCUGCUGCUCAGCACUGUAACCUUGAGUCCAGGGCUGCCUCGUUUAAUUAGCCAUCAUUCUUUUUCUUCACGAUAAACCACAUAGCUGCGUGGCUUCUUUAAGUCCCAACGUCUUCUUCUUUGUAAUUACAGCUUCUGAAAGCAGCGGAGAGAUAACAAGGAUGUGUCUCCAUCUUUUCUGGAACUCGGCAGAGAGGGUCUGGACCCACGGCUAUUGAGAAGCGGUUCCUUGCUGGAGRUGUGGACUCUGUUGAAGUUUAAAACAAUUACAUCUGAUUUACCCAAUUGCUAACAUUUGGCCAUGACAUAUGUAGCAGACCGUGAAAGACGCUAAGCUAAAAAGCUAAYRGGAAAUUGCAUCGCUGUAAACAACCAUCCCCUACUGGGGAGAGAGAAGUACUGAGCUGAAUGAGAUGGCUGUAACUGAUGCUGCAGGCUUUACGAGACAAUUUUAAUUYAGAAGCCUUGUCAACACAACUGAAUGGCUUCAUUCACUUCAUCUGCUGCCRUUGUUAAACUACAGGCAGACUAACACAGAAUGAAAAUCGACGUCAUUGUUCACAACUCCUCCUCCUGUUCACUGAUUGGCCUGGUUGAAUUUCUACCAGAGAAAUCUAUGUCAGUGGGRGAAAGCCCAGAUGGCGGUGGUGGAUCUGGGAUUUUUCAUAGAGGGGCCAAGUAUUUGUUCAGCAUCCUUGCACAUAAAUCCUUGGUUUUUGUAAGUACAUGAAUAAAAUACUCUCAAACA